Molecule: ribosomal RNA, 480 nt
Filed under: uncultured bacterium
Lineage: Bacteria
Description: bacterial SSU rRNA
Rfam family: Bacterial small subunit ribosomal RNA
Source: RNAcentral
AAUGAACGUUGGCGGCGUGGAUUAGGCAUGCAAGUCGAGCGAGAACCCGCAAGGGGGACAGCGGCAAACGGGGUAGUAACGGGUAGGUGACGUACCCUCGGGUCGGGGAUAGCCACGGGAAACUGUGGGUAAUACCCGAUAACCUCCUGAGGCGUGAUAGCUUCAGGAGCAAAGGUGUGAUUCCACCGGAGGAGCGGCCUGCCUCGUAUUAGCUGGUUGGUGAGGUAACGGCUCACCAAGGCGACGAUGCGUAGGGGGUGUGAGAGCAUGACCCCCACCACUGGGACUGAGAUACUGCCCAGACACCUACGGGUGGCUGCAGUCGAGAAUCUUCGGCAAUGGGCGCAAGCCUGACCGAGCGACGCCGCGUGUGGGAUGAAGGCCCUUGGGUUGUAAACCACUGUCAGAGGGGAUGAAGUGCCAGAGGGCAAUCUCUCUGGUUUGACAUAGCCUCAGAGGAAGCACGGGCUAAGUUCGUGC